GAGUUUGAUUCUGGCUCAGGAUGAACGCUAGCUACAGGCUUAACACAUGCAAGUCGAGGGGCAUCAUGGUAUUAGCUUGCUAAUACUGAUGGCGACCGGCGCACGGGUGAGUAACACGUAUCCAACCUGGCUUUCACUCAGGGAUAGCCCAUCGAAAGAUGGAUUAAUACUUGAUGGUAUAUACAUUUCGCAUGUUUUGUAUAUUAAAGAUUUAUCGGUGAUAGAUGGGGAUGCGUACCAUUAGUUUGUUGGGGGGGUAACGGCCCACCAAGACUUCGAUGGUUAGGGGUUCUGAGAGGAAGGUCCCCCACAUUGGAACUGAGACACGGUCCAAACUCCUACGGGAGCCAGCAGUGAGGAAUAUUGGUCAAUGGACGUAAGUCUGAACCAGCCAAGUAGCGUGAAGGAUGACUGCCCUCUGGGUUGUAAACUUCUUUUAUAUGUGAAUAAAUUUUCCUACGUGUAGGUUUUUG
Molecule: ribosomal RNA, 473 nt
Filed under: Bacteroides sp. canine oral taxon 040
Lineage: Bacteria; Pseudomonadati; Bacteroidota; Bacteroidia; Bacteroidales; Bacteroidaceae
Description: bacterial SSU rRNA
Rfam family: Bacterial small subunit ribosomal RNA
Source: RNAcentral